Poecile atricapillus (Black-capped chickadee) is the source of this 4797-nucleotide long non-coding RNA. RefSeq lists it as uncharacterized. The record is from RefSeq and is a predicted model, not a curated record. Lineage: Eukaryota; Metazoa; Chordata; Aves; Passeriformes; Paridae. The transcript has 9 exons.
GCCCCGCCUGGCCCCGCCCCGCCUGCCGGGGCUCCGCUCCCCGCCCGCGGCCUCCGCUUCCCCCCGCCGCGGCGCGCGGGGCCGCUCUGACGUCAGCGCGCUGCUCGCCCCUCAGCCCCGCUGCGUCACUGCCGAUGUCAAACCGUGCCCUUGUGCCCCUCAGUCCCGCGUGGAAGGGAAGGGGGGAGCGCUAGACUACAUCUCCCAUGACCACCGCGGCCCGCGGGGGCCUCGGCAGCGGCGAUGGCGAGGCUGGCAGGGACCGCCUACGCGGCUGGCACCCCUCGGGCUCUGGGGUGACGCGCGGGCUCCUUCCUGAGGGGGCGCGGGACGACCCCAGCCCCACAUCACCGCCAGGCCCCGCCUACUCCGCGCCCGGCGGCUAAAAAUACUCCCCACAGGUAGCAACGCCCGGCGAUUGGCUGCCUUCCCGAGCGGCCAUCGCUGAUUGGCCAGCGGAGCCAGGGGGCGGAGCCAGGCCGGGUUUUGGGGGACCGAGGAUUUGCACCAGAGGCACAAGGAGAAUUUGACACACUUGCUGCAAAGAGGUUUUCAUGCCCCGAACGUGAAACCACCAGGACUGGCUGAAGGACACUCUGUGCCCAGGGACUGGGGAGCUGAGACCUGAAAUGGAUGAGCUAUUUUACUGCUAUUUUACUGCUGCAAACGCCUCUUCAAGAUGUGCUGGCACAGCCUCACUCCCCAAGUUAAACACUUGGAAACACAGAAGAUGCCCCUGUCCAGCAGCAGUUGGGGCACGUGAAGUUUCAGGAAGGAAGGGAGGAGCUGCUUUGUUUUCUUCCUAGGGAAGGCCAGCGAUGGAAUUUCACUAGAGAUCCUACCAACAUUAAAUACUCUGUGAAGCCUCAGGAGCUCCUGAGAUGAUGGAUGACAUCAAGAGCCAAAAGAACAUGUACAAAGCAUCUGCAGAAAGAGAUCCUUAAUGACUGUGUGAAGUCUGUUGAUUUGUUGCCAGCACAUGCUCUCACUCUCCAUGUCAGCGUUUGCAACAAUGGGAUCCUCACUUUGGAAAUUUCAGCUGCUUAUAGGAAGUUUAGGUGUUCAAAAUGGCCACUGCAAUGGGCUUGUAUAACAUCUAAGGCACAGAAAUCCACCAUAAUUUUGAAGAAUAAAGUGGGAAUUAAUUUUUCAUUAUUGGAAGAAAUACUUUGUUUUCUGCUAUUACAAGGAAUGAUCAAAGACUCGGAGCCCUUUGGAAAGAGUUUCCAAUAGUGUGGCAUUUAAUGCGAGCAAUUUGUGAUUACUGUUGGAGCACAAAAACAUUGUAAAUCUGAAGGAGAGCCCAGAAGGCAGGAUUGAGCAUCUCCCGUGUCCUAGAUUCAGCAGAGGAACUGAUGUGAAAAAGAAGCAGGAUCUGCUGGAUGGAAAGCUCAAACGAUGUAUCACAGGAAAUACAAUUUCCCUGCUGUUUGCACGGGCUCUAGUCCAGAAGCAGCAGUGCAUCUGGGUAGUGGAUUUGCAAAAUGUUUGCUGGCUGUGGUUCCUCCUCCAGGUUUUCAGAGGAUCCACCCAAAGGGAACAGGCUCAGGUACGGAGACUUCCCCCAUUCAGCCAGCAAGCAGGGCACCAAUGCUUCCUUUGAACAGAAAUGCCUGAAUAUAAACAUCUACAUAUCUUUGGCAGCUCUUGACUACAAGAUAUGAAAAGGGAAUUGCCUGUUUUCUGUUUUAAGCCAAACACAAGUUUUAAGCAGCACACAGAGACAUUUGUAGGAAUUCUCCACCAAGCAUAAGCCAGUACAGAAUCAACGAGGCAUCACUGCAGACCCUUGGGCACGGUGCAUGGUCCUCCCAGCAGGACAUAAAUCUGCCCUUAAUGGGAAUUACUUCAUUUCCAUUCAGGAGUUUGCCCACCAGUUCAGCACUGUGCCAAAGGGGUAAUCAGGGGCCAUCAGGUUUCAUAAGACUUAAGUGCAACUUAAUUGUCUUUGAAAGAGGAUUUUUUUCAGCUGGAGCAAGAGCAGCUUGGUCAGGGCAGUGCCUGUGGCUCACCUAAAAACUCCCCCAGCACAGCACUGAGCUCUGUGGGUCAUGUGGAAGAGAGAGCACCUCUGGGAAAAGAAGUGCUGUGAUAAGAUUUGAUUCAGAGAAAUUCAGGACUUCUGUAGUGUACCGGUUUAAUAUCAGCCAAGUAGAUAAUUUCACUUAUUGCUCUCUCUUCCAAAAGCACACUGAGGUGCUUGGAUGGCCCAGCUGCAGUCAGAGCAGAGCAUCCCCCUGCUCUACCUGGAUUUCUUUCUAAUUUAGAAGAACUGAGCGUUCUCUUUCUGUGUAGGAACACAGAUUCAUGCCAGCACGUGAGUCCCAUGUGCUGUGGGUUUGUCAGACAGGGGCACAGUCCCUGUCCCUCCAGAUCAGCUCCAGACAUUGUCCACAGCCCUACAUUGACUCACCUGUCUUAUCAUUUUGGGUGUGGGGUCUGGUUUGCCUUCAGUCUUUUCCUGGCACAUGCAAAUCCAGAUUACCUGGAUAUUUAAAUCAAGUUCAUUGUCAUGCUAGCUGAACACCUUAUAAAGGGAUAUUGAUCAAGAAAGAAUAAUGAGCCUUCAAAUUCCCCUAAGCUGUAAGGACAAAGUGCUCAAGUAAAACAUCCCUCAUUCUAAAUGAGUCCUUACUUCUAAGUCUUCUGCAUACUCAAAACAAGGUAAACUAAACACUGGGACAAAUGGAUGAAGCUAAGUACUCCUCAGAAAGAUGGACGUCUGUUUUACCCUCUCUUCCUUUCAAAGCAAUUCAUGCCAUCAUCCUGUGAAACAAUCUGAGUAAGUCCCUGGAACUCAAGACAUUUAUUUGAGACCCUCUGACUCACUGACUUUUCUCUUUUUCUGUCCACAGUGAAUCUUGCUGAACAGGUUGAACCAAAAUUAUCUUCUUGCAAACAUUCUGUAAAUAGAUCAAUGCCAUAUCCUGUAUCAAACACUCCCUACCUGGAGCCCAUUGAAUAAAUGGAUGUCUUUGCUAUGAAAUUAUAAACCAGAACUUCAUGUGGCAUCAUACCCAUACAGAUUUGAAAUAAUUUAGCUUUCAGCAGGGUUUUCAGCAUUUCAGUAAGAGCAGUAUAAAUAGCCACAGUGUCUCAGCAUUGCAAAGGACAGGGAUUAAGGUCAGCAGCCACAGUGCAGUGGUUGGCCUUUGAAGACUGGAGCAGACUACAGAAGGUGCAGGGUACCUGGGGCUCCCAUUCAACUGUGAUGGGGCUGUGGAUGCCUUGUAUUACUUGAUUAUCACUCUGGAGGGAUUUGAACGAGAAGCAGAUGUGUGGAAACUUGCAAGAUACUUUUGAAUAACAGAAGGUCUCUUGCAGAGAGGACAAGGCUGGUUCAAGACCAAAGCACCAGCUCCUGCGUGGAGCAAAGUUCCAUGUUGUCCAUGUUGUCCCAGUGGAGCACAGCUCACCCACCCAAAGGAAACCUCACACCACAGGUGUUUGCUGGGUAAAAAACAAGUCACCCCUGAGAUAUCAGCACUGGAGAGAAACAGAGGAAGAGCUGCAAUGGGUGCUCCUCACCUCGUGUGACUCACCUCAAGAAGAUGUGUGGGUUUGGGUAUUUUUAAAGCUGACAGAGGGCAGGUUAAAUUAGGUACAAAGAAGAAAUUCUUCCCAGUGAGGCUGAUAGUGUGCUGGCAUGGAUUGCCCAGAGAAGCUGUGGCUGCCCCAUACCUGGAAGUAUCCCAGGCCAGCUUGGAUGAGGCUUGGAGUAACCUGGUCUGGUGGAAGGUGUCCCUGCCCAUGGCAGGGGUUUGGAACUGGAUGAGUGUUAAAGGUCCUUCCCAUCCCCAGCUAUUCUAUGAGUCUGUUGGGAGAGUGACACACAUAAGGCACUGAAAUACAUUCAGGUACCCCAGAGAGUCAUCUGAAUUGUGCUGGAGAUACACAGCUCAGAGUCCAAGCUGCAGGAAACCAUGAGGACUGAGAGCAACCCGAGCAGCCCUGGUGGGUCAGAUGGCUGCUGGCUUUCUCAGGCUGAGCAGCACUCACUCCACAGCCAGAUCCCCCACAGCCAGGGGAAGGCUCUGGACAACAAACCUGGCAUCAGAUGGGCCUUGGGGAAGUCUCUGGGACCAGCGGAGAGCGUGGUGACAAUGUUUACAUGCAUGUCCCUUACUAAUGAUGUCCAAAGGUGGCCAGAUUACCUCUGCAGAUGAGCUCCAGGUCUUGGGGGAGUUGCAGGUUUCUGCUCUCUAGUCCUGCCUGCACAAUCCAAGGCCCAGCAGCACAAAACCACCCUCACAUCCCCUGAGCUGUGCAGGAGGAGACCAGAACAGUGAUUCCAACCUCUUCCAGUGCCUCUGCCUUUAGCUUGUACCCUCCAGGCAAUUUCCUACAGAACUUCUUCCUCCAUAAAAGCCUCGGGAACAAUGCAAGGUGAACAGCAAUGCCUGGUGAGCUACUGGACACACAGGAUCCCUGCUCCUCCUGUGAGCAGAGAGGCUUCUUCUAAAAAGAAAGGAUUUGCAGGUCAAGGCUGCAGCCAAAAGGAGUAGCAGCACAUCCUAGAGGAGCAUCCCUUCUGCUUGGAUUCAGCUCUGUUCAGAAAAACAAAAGUCUUCAUUCAGCAUUCAAUUUUCUUCACCCUUCACCACUGGAAUUUUUCUAUGAGCUGAAUUAAAUAUGCCAGACUUCAAAGGUAAAUAUCCUCAGUGGCUCAGUGAUAUCCAUGGUGUCUUUCUGUUAACCACUGUCAUUAAGCCUCAUUCUGUUCUGAUGAGGCCCUGCAGGAAAGUGAGGUGCUCCUGUGUCCAGCUUCACUGUUUAAGCAGAAUAAAAUACUGACUG